Molecule: long non-coding RNA, 565 nt
Organism: Aethalodelphis obliquidens (Pacific white-sided dolphin)
Lineage: Eukaryota; Metazoa; Chordata; Mammalia; Artiodactyla; Delphinidae
Exons: 4
Source: RefSeq, a predicted model, not a curated record
CCAUACUCUAAAUGAUUCACUGAGUUUGGUCUGCCUUCGAGGAGAGAGAUUACACUCUACCUCCCAAAAAGAGAGUAUCUACAUGUAUUAUUUGAGACUUUUCUAAAAAGAAAGUGACCCUUAGCAUGGUCAAGCAACUUUCCCAGGAUAACAUGGCUACUGGACAAUGGAGCAAGAUUUUGGCCUGACCUCCCACACUAUUAACCACUCUGCCACGGGAGCAGGAAAAUGGGUACUCCACUCACAUGCUGUGCUCUAAGCAUAUUAGUUGGUAGACUCUUUCUGGAAGGCUUUGACUCCAACCUCUGAAAAUGCUUCAAUUCAAUGAAGCUAAUGGCACUUUGGUCUCCGGCAUUAGAUCCUGUUAUCAAUGACUUCCACAUGGAAAGAUUAUUCCAAAAUGUGUGAUUAACCAAGAAAAUGCAAAUAAACCAAUUUGUACCUGCUAUUUAGAGAUUAUGCACAUUUACUAAAUUAGAAUGCUUUCUUGGGCUUCCCUAGUGGCUCCGUGGUUGAGGGUCUGCCUGCCGAUUCAGGGGACACGGGUUCAUGCCCCGGUCCGGGA